This 6300-nucleotide long non-coding RNA is filed under the name Bemisia tabaci. RNAcentral describes it as "lncRNA ENSSSA1NGG002558". Lineage: Eukaryota; Metazoa; Arthropoda; Insecta; Hemiptera; Aleyrodidae. The record is from RNAcentral.
AUGGGCCCUCGAGGGAGUCCUCAAAGUGUGCGUGCCGGUUUGUUCUCUGGUUCAUCGCCACGCUCAGUCCGCUCAGCCGGUCCACACAGACGCCAUCAUCACCGCCGCUCAUCUAGUGUAGAAAGCCAUAGUUCAAAUGAUUCUCAUUCUUGUCGAAGGCGCAGGCAUAGGAGUAGGAGAGGCUCUGACUGUGAAAGCGAAUUGUCAAGGUGCUCAGGUAAAUCUCAUCAUAGUCAUCGUAGACCAAGACAUCGUAGUAGAAAAACAUCGCACAGUGAUAGAGAAUCCUCAAAACACAGUAAUUACCAGUUGGUUGAGUCCGAAAGUCAGUGGAAGGAGGUCCAAAGGAGACGCGGUGAGGGUUCUGAGAGCCUAGCAACAGCAAGUGUCAGUCGGCCACGUUCUUCAGGACAUCACAAUAGCGGCAUGGAAACGGAGAGUGAGAGGUCGUACCAUCAUCAUCAUAGGAGAAAACAUCGCAAGCAUCGAUCCCGCUCACCAUCAUCAGAUAAAUCUUCUCGAUUGCCGGACGAACUGAAGCAGCAUCUGGAGUUCUCAUUAGUUGAGACUGAAGGAAUGAGUGAGUCGCAGCUUAAGGAAAUUCCAUACAAAGUGGUCGAGACGAAUACUGCCAAAUCCGCACUGCGAGUGCGUUUGUCACCCUCAAAUAAACGGAAGUUAGCUCCACGGAGGACAAAAAGCAACAAUUCGCUUAAAGACGGGCCUCCGAGUAAUGGUGACAGUCCACCACCCCCGUACAGUGAAAGUCCCGUCCUGUCUGAUCUCAACAAAAACAACAGCAAGUCCAACUCCCAGCUGCCCAGGAUACCAGCAAGGAGCCAGCCAUCGCGGCCACCAUGCUCAGCAUUGUAUGGAAACCCAGGGACUCUCUUGGGCCGUACCCCAUUUUUGCAUGGCAGUCAAAAUAGUGUUGAUCUCCUUGACCAUUCAGCGUGGAACUCGACCCCAAAACGAUCGGACCAUUCACCUCAAAGCUCUCCUUACAAUUCAAUAGGCCUGCCUCUGCCUAACCAACAGAAGAUUUGGUCAAGUCCUGAAGUACGAGGCACCGUUGGACUUCCCUGGCCAUCCAUCAUGGAAGGCUUUUACCAACCUGGUGCCAAGUCUAUGUCUAACGGCUAUUACCCAAGCAACUUGUACAAUAACCAACAGCUCGGUGAACCUAUGAGCGCAAAUCAAAACAUUCUGGAACAUGGUCUUCGCAAUGUCCAACGACCCAGCGAUACCUCCAUGCAGCGGUCCUCCUCCAUAAACUCAGGCCUCAACAAACAAAAAGAAGGCCUACCCAGUUCGCUUUCGAACCAUUCGGGCCGAUUUACACGAGGCUGUGCUGUGGAAACGGGUGUGUUGGGCAGUCAUACAAUCACACCCAAUGGCAGUAUUGCGUGGCCCAACUCUAACAACAGCAUGCGGGGCAAGCUUCGAGAAAAGCCAGAACUGCGCGAAAGGCAGGAGCCGAGAAAUGUUAAUCGUAGUCCUGCGUUAGCUCAGAGACUCAACAGCUCAGGGAACGUCAACCACCCUCCUCCUGUGCCAAGUCCUGAAAGUAAACAAUAUGUUACCAACUCUUUCUCCUCCGAUCUGCUCAAUUGGAACUAUCCAAGCCCAAACCAACCCACUGCCAAGAUGUUCGGAACGGAAAGUGAUUCGACAAAUGCUAACAGUUGGAACUAUCCAAACCUCUCAAACCACACAAACUCAGGUCCUGAAAGGAAGGAAUUUUCAAAACCAGACUUUGUGAACACCAAUGGUUGGGCACCAAAAGCGGAUGCUGUUAAUGGCUGGAGCUACGCUUUGGAUAAUCAGUGGAGCGAAGCAGAUUCAAACCUGAAUACAAAGCUCACGAAUGGAUCACUUGAAGAUCUCCUCUCUCGAUCCAGUCCGAACGGAUCAUUGAAGAGGUGGGAUCAGCGCAGUCCGGGCACGAGCAUGAAAGGCAAAAGCAUCUCGCCGAACAGCUCACUACCGAUGCAUCCUAACGGGUGGCAACGCAAUAGUAACAAGGCUGGUGAUCGUGGACCGCUGUACCUGUCAGCGCAAGCUUAUGAGCACGAGAAUGAAAAUAAUAACGAAGAAUCUUGGUGCUAACAUACGCUUAACACUCCUGUACCAAGACUGAUUGUUUUUAGCAUACGUUUAGCUAACAGAUUUAGAGGAGGUUGAGUUGUUAACCGUAACAUUUUUAAUCUGCUAUGCUUUUUAAACACACAUGUGAGUUCUCAUCUUAGUAUUUUGCCAUUACAACGUCAUCUUUCAUGCAUGGUCAAAAUUGCUGAAAAAGUCACUAUUCUAUAACACAAUUCUCUUAGGAAUUCAAAUUAACCAAUUAUAUAAUGCACCUAAUCUGAAGGGUCGGCACUAUCAGCGAAUUCAUAUAAUCUUUUCCAUAAAAAAAUUGAAAAUUCAAUUCUGAAAUUUUUUAUGAAAUUACUGUCGAAAUGACUGAGCUGAUGUUACUAAGGACCCUGCCUAAACAGCCAAGGAUUUUGGUGUCGGCUAAGUUUACAAUUUAUCAUCAACAGAGAGAGGUUUAUGGGUGAGGAUAUUCCAGUUGUCGCUCAUGACAAACAAACGCUUAAUCUAGCUUCAACUUUUUUUAUUUUUCAUCAUUACUUCCCCUUGUCUAUUUAAUUUUUAGUUCCAGUUUUUCUUUUUUUCUCUCAGUUUUUUGCCUCAUAACUUUUAUGCAAGUUGCUUUAACCCAUUUUCUCUUUUUGUUUUUCCAGGGAAAUGAAUCUAAGACGUCGUUGCAGAAUUCUGAGGUCAACAAUAAUGGCCGAAUCAUAGAUGAAAUGAGCACUGAAUUAUAAAGUGUUUCAAGGAAUACUGGAGAUCUUUUGUUUUAAUCUCCAUGAAAUGACUGCAAUUAGUCCAAAGAAUUGUAAUCAUGUACAUAGACUGUACCAAGAAAACUGAUCGUUGGCUUGGUUUAAGAAUCUAUGAUUUAUAUUUUUUUAGUUCAGAAGAUAUGAAAUGAGGAAGUUUAAUUUUUACAUGACCCUUGUUGGUUUCCGUAAAAUUGCUGCCACUCGGUAAAUUUUUGACUAAACAGACGGAAAAAGGUCUUUUUUGACAGUAAAGUUUAUGGACUACAACCCUCUUCAAACCAUAUCUCUAAAGCUAGCUUAGUUUUAUUAAAUCAAGGCAAAUGUCAGUUGUUUUGGGACAGCAUGUGUAUGAUUCCUGGACCAUUUUGUAAAUUGCAUGUGAAGGAAGGAAGUACAGUUAAUUUUUGUAAAAAAUUGGCAGCAAACUUUUCCAAUUUCUUUCAUUUCUUUAACAAGAUCUGUGUAUCUAGUCUGGUGAGAUUAUUUAUCUAUAGGAUUCCUCUUUUACCUCUAGUGGCGGACAGUAUCAGGAAAAAUGCAAAAUUAAUAGAGGAGAACCAGAUCCAUUUCCAUGGGCAAAGUGCGGAACCAUGUAUCUUCAUUGCGGUGUCUCAAAAUUUCCACUCCCACUUUUUUUCUUUUCUUUUUUGAAGAGAAAGGAGCCUAUUUUAUAGCUUAAAAUUUCUAAAGUAUAUUCUGCUAACACACAAGAAAAUUCAGGGAAGUUUUCAAGAAAUUACAUUGUCAAGUUUUCCAAAGAAAAAGAAAGUAUGAUAGGAAGUCUGCAACGUUGUAAACAGAGAUACGCUGUUUCGCACUUUUUCAUUGAUAUAGAAAAUGUCAGGAGCUUUCUCUUUAAGUCCCCUCAGUGGAAGUUUAAAUAAUUCUCUAAUGGGUCACUAAACCUUGUUUUUUUUAUUGAAUAUUCUGAAAGCACAAUGUGAGCAGAAAACGUGGUGAUUUUUCCGCAUUUUUAUGGAGCCGAAAUCGCGGAGAAACCCGCUUUUGAAAAAUCUAAAAACUGCAAGACAUUUCAAACGCACCCGAAUGGCGGGAAACUGACGGUGUUGACGCACUGCGGUAGUCAUAUCGCAAUCUUCUCUCAUUUUUCCUCUGAUGUUUGUUAAAAUAAACCUUGUUUCAAUGUGGAAUUGUUGCUCGUUUAUUAUAGCUAACAUAUGAAUGAGAUUCAAGUCUUGAAUUCAAAAGAUUUAAUUUCGACUUUAGUUUUGUUUUCAUAUACGAAGAGUAGAUAGACAUUUGACGGAAGUCGUGGACACCCGUGCCCGCUUCUGAUUGGUGCCGGAUGACAUCAUUCGGCGCGGCGCGAAAUCGGGGCGUUUUAAAUUUGCGUAUAAGUUGAGCGAGUUGAACUGCGCAUUUCUCGGUUAUUGAGUUCCUUGUUCGCGUUUUUAAUGUGCGCAUCGUUUUCUACGCGUCAUUUUCCUUCAGAAAACUAUAUUCGCAAGUCAAAAUUCGUUCAUGGUUUAGUGACCCAUUCACCAGAAAUCAGGAAAAUAUCAGGAUUUUUAAUUGCUAAAAUUCAGGGAAGUUUUAUACUUAGUGUCUUAAUAAAAAGUCGGAGCUAUCAAUUUUUUUAUUGCUGCUGUGUUUUCCUCUCUUUGUAUAUUUAUGAAGUAAUGGGAAGAAUGAGGAAAUUCUCUUGCUAUUUUCUUCUCUGAGCUUUGAUUGCACUAUUUAUAAAAUUUUCAACUCAGGACCUCAUGAAGGAUUUUUAUUUAUGAAUGGACAAGCAUUAAAUCUCAAAAAAGGGUUUCCAAGUUUUAAUACUAUGGCUUUGUCUUAGACUGAAAUUUCUGGUUGAUGUAUAAGUUCAAAAAUAUUGAUGAAUAUUCUUCUGGUUGAUACGGAAUUUCGUCAAAAAAUAUUUUCCUUCUUUUUUCCAAAUACUCGUAUCUGCAUGAAGAUCCAAAAUCAAAUCACCCUCCAAAAUCUUUCACUUGUAUUAUGGAAGUCCUUGACUAAAAGAAUAUCUAAUUUGUCAUAAUUGCGCAAAAAAUUAGCGUUUUGUCAGGUGCUCCCUCUUAAAAAGGAGUCAUCCUACGCCAACGUGUAAAACCACACAAAAAAAGGAGUAAGAGCAGCUUUAGGUGCAAAAUUUUCAGGUUUUUGUAACUUGGAUAUGUUUCUAACUUCUUAGUGAUUUUUCUUCAUCAAAUUUUUUCUGCUAUUUUUGUACGAUAUUUGUAUUCUCAUUAAAUUCCUAAUCACCUGACGUAGCAUGAGAAAAUGUUUCAUGUCCAGAUAAUCCUCGUAUUUUGUACUACUAAGUGUCUGAUCUGUGUUCCUUGUAGCCGCAUAGUGUUAGCCCCUACAUUUUUGUACUUUUGUAUGUUCCCUUGUCUAAAUUUAACCAAAAAUUGUUGAUUCCUGGGGAUGGCAAUUUCAAAUUCUUCAUCUCUAGAAGUACAACAGGACAGCAGUUUCAUCCGAUGACUUUUUGUCCCUUUUUUUUGCUUUCUUUAAAUUGCCUAUUUUUACCUGUAAUAAUUCUGUUGCAGCAGAGCAAAGCAAGGGUUCUCUCUUACAAAUGCAUGGUUUUGCUAAUGAAAACCAAAUUCUUUGUGAAAUAGUUGUCGAUUCACUUAUUAAUAAGGGUCAGAAAUUCUUCAUCAGAGUCGUAUAAAAAUUUGCUGUUAGUUGAGAAACAAGGAGAUCACUGCCAAAUGUUCCUGAUAAACGUAAUACCAUCUCGCAAAACUGUUACUUUGUACUUUUUCUCGGUGUCGGAUAUUGACAGAACCUUUGGUCCAGCAAAAUUUUCCUCCACACCUGCUCAAAAUUUUUACUGCCAAAACUUGAUUACUCACAAAAUAUGUAUUCAUUUACAGAACGUUUUUGUGUGAAGUUCUCUCUAAUCAUAGCUUUACUUUUACAUCAAUUGGUGAGCAAUUGAGCAUUGAGGACCAAAAACCAUGAAUACUGCUAAAAAAUAAUCACUUUUCAGAAUUAGUAUUACAACUAAUGUAAGUCACUUUUCCUUGUUUUGGUUCCAACGACUGUAACUCUUUCCUAUGAGUUUCCAUUUUGGAUCUCACAUCCAGCCUCCUCCUAAAUGGGUUUUUUCCCCCUGCGUGUAAAUAUUUGUGCUAAAAAAUUUAACUCAUAUUGAAUCUGCACUCUUUAUGUACCUAAGUAUUUAUUUUUCAAUCUUUUCUACAUUUCUUAAUUUGUACCAUAAGCGCUGCUUUCAUCUUUAGUUUGUUACCAUUCUACCGUUUGUCCAAUGACUGAUGACAUUUGUACAAACUACUCAUAAUAUUUUUCUCAUUUUGUGAAGGAAGCAGAAUUCGGUAGGAAUUAUCUUGUGUUAUUUAUAUCUUUUCACUUAAUUUAUUCCUAAAUUUAUAGUAUCUAUCUUCUCACCUCAGUAUGUAACUUAAUAUUUUAUAGAAUUUUCACUUCAAAAUAAACAUUUUGUGUUCUUGAC